AGAUUGAACGCUGGCGGCAGGCCUAACACAUGCAAGUCGAGCGGCAGCACGGGUACUUGUACCUGGUGGCGAGCGGCGGACGGGUGAGUAAUGCCUAGGAAUCUGCCUGGUAGUGGGGGAUAACGCUCGGGAAACGGACGCUAAUACCGCAUACGUCCUACGGGAGAAAGCAGGGGACCUUCGGGCCUUGCGCUAUCAGAUGAGCCUAGGUCGAUUAGCUAGUUGGUGGGUAAUGGCUCACCGAAGGCGAGAUCCGUAACUGGUCUGAGAGGAUGAUCAGUCACACUGGAACUGAGACACGGUCCAGACUCCUAGUGGGAGCAGCGAGGUAGGGAAUAGUGGACAAGUGGGACAAAGCCUGAUCCAGCCAUGCCGCGUGUGUAGAAGAGGUCUUACGGAUUAGUAA
RNAcentral lists this ribosomal RNA (406 nucleotides) under uncultured soil bacterium. RNAcentral's name for it is "bacterial SSU rRNA". It matches the Rfam family "Bacterial small subunit ribosomal RNA", at positions 26 to 429 of the family's 1533-position model. The record is from RNAcentral.